CUUGAAAUAUAGGGGUGCUUGUUUCUUCCAUACGGGGAGGACAGGCUGAGAAAAACCCUUAGAACCUGAUCUGGGUAAUGCCAGCGUAGGGAAAAAAAUGAAUAAACGU
This 109-nucleotide non-coding RNA is filed under the name Candidatus Zhuqueibacterota. Its description in RNAcentral is "Candidate division TPP sequence". It matches the Rfam family "TPP riboswitch aptamer (THI element)". Rfam says of the family: Vitamin B(1) in its active form thiamin pyrophosphate (TPP) is an essential coenzyme that is synthesised by coupling of pyrimidine and thiazole moieties in bacteria. The previously detected thiamin-regulatory element, thi box was extended, resulting in a new, highly conserved RNA secondary structure, the THI element, which is widely distributed in eubacteria and also occurs in some archaea. The record is from RNAcentral. Lineage: Bacteria; Pseudomonadati.